Molecule: ribosomal RNA, 449 nt
Filed under: uncultured prokaryote
Description: bacterial SSU rRNA
Rfam family: Bacterial small subunit ribosomal RNA
Source: RNAcentral
UAGGGAAUCUUGGUCAAUGGGCGCAAGCCUGAACCAGCCAUGCCGCGUGUGCGAAGAAGGCCCUAGGGUUGUAAAGCACUUUCAGUCGCGAAGAAAAGCGCCGGAUUAAUACCUCGGCGUCUUGACGUUAACGACAGAAGAAGUACCGGCUAACUCCGUGCCAGCAGCCGCGGUAAUACGGAGGGUACGAACGUUAAUCGGAAUUACUGGGCGUAAAGCGCGCGUAGGCGGUUCGGUAAGUGGGAUGUGAAAGCCCCGGGCUUAACCUGGGAACUGCAUUCCAAACUGCCAGACUAGAGUAUGGUAGAGGGAGGUAGAAUUUCCUGUGUAGCGGUGAAAUGCGUAGAUAUAGGAAGGAAUACCGAUGGCGAAGGCAGCCUCCUGGACCAAUACUGACGCUGAGGUGCGAAAGCGUGGGGAGCAAACAGGAUUAGAUACCCCCGUAGUCC